AUGAGCGUGGUUGGGUUUGAUUUGGGCAACGAGAGCUGCAUUGUGGGGGUGGCACGGCAGCGUGGCAUCGACGUGGUUCUCAAUGAGGAAUCCAAACGGGAGACCCCUGCCAUCGUCUGCUUUGGUGACAAGCAGCGCUUCAUCGGCACUGCAGGCGCUGCCAACUCCACCAUGAACCCAAAGAACUCCAUCUCACAGAUCAAGCGCUUGCUGGGCCGCAAGUUUGCUGAUCCUGAACUGCAGCGCGAUCUGCAGUCAUUCCCUUUCCGUGUCUCGGAGGGCCCCGACGGGUUCCCACUCGUGCACGCCCGGUAUCUGGGGGAGGAGCAUGCUUUCACCCCCACGCAGCUGCUUGCCAUGGUGCUGUCUAAUCUGAAGGCCAUUGCUGAGGAUAACCUGAAGUCCGCUGUUGUUGAUUGCUGCAUUGGUAUACCGGUGUAUUUCACUGACCUGCAGCGUAGGUCUGUUCUUGAUGCUGCCACUAUCGCUGGUCUCCGGCCGUUGCGUCUGUUCCAUGAGACCACUGCUACUGCAUUGGCAUAUGGCAUCUAUAAGACCGAUCUCCCUGAGAAUGAUCAGCUGAACGUCGCAUUUGUUGAUGUCGGGCAUGCCAGCAUGCAGGUAAGCAUUGUCGGGUACAAGAAGGGGCAGCUGAAGAUGCUGUCCCACGCAUAUGACCGGUCUCUUGGUGGAAGAGACUUUGAUGAAGCCCUGUUUAAGCACUUUGCGGCAAAAUUUAAAGAGGAGUAUAAGAUUGAUGUCUACCAGAAUGCCCGCGCGUGCAUUAGGUUGCGUGUGGCCUGUGAGAAGCUCAAGAAGAUGCUGAGCGCCAAUCCGGAGGCACCGAUGAAUAUUGAGUGCUUGAUGGAUGAGAAGGAUGUGCGAGGCUUCAUCAAGAGGGAUGAAUUUGAACAAAUCAGUGCCCCAGUACUAGAACGUGUGAAAGGGCCACUGGAGAAGGCCUUGGCCGAAGCUGGCUUGACAACUGAAAGUGUGCACUUUGUUGAGGUUGUUGGAUCAGGUUCUCGUGUCCCUGCUAUAAUUAGGAUUAUCACUGAAUUCUUUGGAAAGGAACCUCGGAGAACUAUGAAUGCAAGUGAAUGUGUUGCCCGGGGAUGCGCUCUUCAGUGUGCUAUACUUAGUCCCACGUUCAAAGUGCGGGAGUUCCAGGUUAAUGAAGGUUUUCCUUUUUCAAUCGCUUUAUCAUGGAAACCAGAUUCCCAGAACAAUGAGCCCCAACAAACAGUGGUAUUUCCAAAGGGGAACCCUAUCCCGAGCGUCAAAGCUCUGACCUUCUAUAGGUCCAAUACAUUUGCAGUGGAUGUUCUGAAUGUCGAAACGGAAGAUUCGCAAGUAACACAAAAAAUUAGCACAUACACGAUCGGCCCUUUCCAAUCCAGCAAAGGUGAGAAGGCAAAGCUGAAAGUGAAAGUUCGUCUCAACAUUCAUGGAAUAGUCUCUCUUGAAUCAGCGACGAUGCUGGAGGAGGAGGAAGUGGAAGUUCCAGUUUCAGCUACAAGUGAGGUGCCAAAGGAUGCUAACAAAAUGGAGACAGAUGCCACUGAUGUCAAUAUGCAGGAGCCUAAAGGUACUACAGACACUGCUGAGGGUGCUACUGGAGAUGGGGCACAAGAUUCUGAGGAAAAAUCUGCUCCUAUGGAUACUGAUGCCAAGACUGAGCCAUCAAAAAAGGAAGUCAAGAAAACUAAUGUCCCAGUUGCGGAAUUGGUGUAUGGUGCAAUGGGGUCUGCUGAGUUGGAGAAAGCUGUUGAGAAGGAGUAUGAGAUGGCUCUUCAAGACAGAGUUAUGGAAGAAACCAAAGAGAAAAAGAAUUCCGUGGAGGCCUAUGUUUAUGACAUGCGUAACAAGCUUUAUGAGAAGUACUCUGAUUAUGUUACAUGGGAGGACAAAGAAACUUUGACGGCUAAGCUUCAGGAGGUUGAGGAUUGGCUGUACGAAGAUGGCGAGGAUGAGACCAAGGGAGUCUAUGUUGCAAAACUGGAAGAACUUAAAAAGGUUGGUGGCCCUAUCGAGGCGCGCUACAGAGAGUGGGAAGAAAGAGGUCCUGCUAUUGAGCAACUAGCGUACUGCAUCCGCAGUUUCAGGGAGGCUGCAUUGUCUAGUGACCCAAAGUUUGAGCAUAUCGACAUAUCGGAGAAACAGAAGGUUGUUAAUGAGUGCUCUGGAGCGGAGACUUGGCUGCAUGAGAAAAAACAGCAGCAGGAUGCUUUACCAAAGCAUGCUGACCCUGCUCUCCUUGUUUCCGACAUUAAGAAGAAGGCGGAAGCACUUGACAGAUUUUGCAAAUCGAUCAUGACAAAGCCAAAGCCAGCACCGAAGCCACAGACACCACCCCCGGCCGAAACUUCACCACCAGAGGCUCAAACACCAGAGCAGCAGCCAGAUGGUGCCACUGAAGCUAGUGAGCCGGCCAGUGAGGGAGGUGCGUGGGAGCAGCCUGCAGCCGAGCAGAUGGACACCGACGAACCUGAUCCUAACUCGGCAUAG
RNAcentral lists this ribosomal RNA (2508 nucleotides) under Triticum aestivum (bread wheat). Its description in RNAcentral is "partial small subunit ribosomal RNA". The record is from RNAcentral. Lineage: Eukaryota; Viridiplantae; Streptophyta; Magnoliopsida; Poales; Poaceae.